Molecule: ribosomal RNA, 538 nt
Filed under: Trigonopterus sp. 832 AR-2022a
Lineage: Eukaryota; Metazoa; Arthropoda; Insecta; Coleoptera; Curculionidae
Description: partial large subunit ribosomal RNA
Rfam family: Bacterial large subunit ribosomal RNA
Source: RNAcentral
GGCUUGUUGAUAAUAAUUUCAAGUCUAACCUGCCCAAUGAAAAAAUUUAAUGGCCGCGGUAAAUUGACCGUGCAAAGGUAGCAUAAUCAUUAGUUUUUUAAUUGAAAGCUUGUAUGAAAGGUUGAAUGAGAAAAUUUCUGUCUCUGGAAAAAUUUAUUAGAAUUUUAUUUUUAAGUUAAAAAGCUUAAAUGUGUAUAGAAGACGAGAAGACCCUAUAGAGUUUUAUAUUUAAAUUAAAUAUUCUAAUUUUAGGUGUAUAAAAUGUGUUUUUAAUUUAUAUAUUUAAUUGGGGUGAUGGAAAAAUUUAAUUAACUUUUUUUGUAAAAAGACAUUAAUUUAUGAAUUGAUGAUCCUAUUAUUUAGAUUAGAAGACUAAAUUACCUUAGGGAUAACAGCGUAAUUUUUCUUAGAGUUCUUAUCGAAAGAAAGGAUUGCGACCUCGAUGUUGGAUUAAAAUAAAUUAUUGGUGUAGGAGCUAAUGGAUUAGGUCUGUUCGACCUUUAAAAUUUUACAUGAUCUGAGUUUAAACCGGUGUGAG